CUUUCUCAUAGACCAAUGGGCUUGGAGCAUUAAGGCCAUACCCCUAUUAUGCAUUCUAGUGCGACCUUGUUUACACCUCCCCUGGCUCAGUCACACAGCUGUGUGGUAGGCUACUAGAAGUGUUUAGUAGUUGUCACUGGGAUCAUGCUGAUGUGGCCCCAUCCCCGCCUCUCCCUGCCCUGUGAUAUCGGAGGAAACCUGACAGAGCAAAUUGGCCAUGGCCAAGAAAAAGGAAAAGAAAGAGUGCCACCAAAAGCAGGGAGCCCUAAGGGAGCAGUUACAGGAGUCUGAGGAUCUGGCCAGCCGCCUUUAGUAUUCCAGGCAGUGUGUGGGAGAGUUGGAGCAGGCUCUCUGCUGUCUCCACACAGCAGAAGAAAGCAGACAGGGUGACGGAGCUGGACUCCAUCUCAAAACAAACAAACAAACAACAACAAAAAAAAAAACAAAUGAGACCAUGGGCUUGGAAAUGCCUUGAAAAAAUGUCAAGUGUGAUUCAGAGUGAGGAAGUAUUACUGUGGAAUAGUUACUGUAGCUAUUGUUACCGGUCGGCCAACUGCUCCUCUGCCUGCUAUAUCCUGACUUAACCUUGGUCUGUAUUUGCCGUACAACAAGGAGUUAACCAAAGAGAGAGACGCCCUCAGGCUGGAGUUAUACAAGAACAGUUCAUUCCUUUCUCUACUGCUUCUGGCCAUAACCGAAGCAAUGAGGACCUGAAGCAGGAGAAAUCAGAAUUGGAAGAGAAGCUUCAAGUCCUGGUGACUGAGAAGGCUGGCAUGCAGCUUAUUUUAGAAGAGCCGCAAAAGAAAUUACAAAUGAUGGCACUCCUGCUUCAACAGGCUAGGGGUUUUCAAGGCACUGUGAAGCCCCUGAUGCGAAACAGCAGUUACCGCAGGCCAUGGAGGAGCGGGCACAGCUGAAAGCACAUCUAGGGCAGGUAAUGGAGUCAGUUAGAUAACUACAAACGGAGAGAGAUACGUAUGCUGAAAAUCUGAAAGGAGGGAGGGCCAUGUGGUGUCAGAGGAAGCAACAGAUGUCGGAGCAGCAGGGCCCUCCAAGGUGGAGCAGCAGCUACAAGCAGAGGCUGACCACCUGCAGAAGGAGCUGGAGAGUCUGGCAGCUCCGAGCCCAGGAGCAAGACACUGAGGGCUUCAGUCACCCGAACCAGGAGUAGGAGGAGAGGCUGCUGGAGCUGGAGCAGGUGGCCGAGCUCUUGCGGGAGCAGGCAGAGUCACGCAGGCAAAUCCUGGAGACCAUGCAGAACAAAUGCACCACCAUCAGCCACGUGCUCACCCAGAACCACAAGCUCAAAGAGCAGCUGUCUCCGCUGCAGAACGGAUUCAUAAAGCUGGUGCCACGGGAGGCAGACACCAAGUUCUGGGGUCUCCAGCUGCAGUGGGUGGCCGCCAAUUGCUUCUCUCUGUCCAGACUAAUGAGAACAUGGAGAUCACCAGUGCACUGCAGUUGGAAUAGCACGUAAAGAGGGAGCUGGGAAAGAAGCUGGGCAAGCUAAAGGACAUGGUAACCCUGCCCCAUCCAAGAAGAGCUGGAAGGCGGGCACCAGCCUCUGGGGAGGGGAGGUGUGAAGCCAGAGGCAGCUCCAGCCUGGGGGACAGGUGACCCCAGCACCCUCCAGGGCAGUCCUGUGACUGUUUCUUGCUUCCCGCCCUCUGACAUUUAGUGGUGGGUUCGUUCUUCCUAGGUCUGGACAUCAUCAUCCCAGCUGGAGUCAUGGAGCCUCCCAAACAUAGGGAAAGAGAUGGUGGUAUAAGAGGUUCCUUAGAGUCAAACUAGAUUCCGGCCUUGGCUCCACUGGUCACCUACUUUUCAUCUCUAAGUCUCGGUUUCUUUAACUUAAAAGGGAAGUUAGCACCUUCCUCUUGGAGGUGCUGAGGAUUAAAUGAGAUAAUACGUGGAAAGCAUUAGGCAUGUAGCACAGUUAGCAGAUGGUGGUUGGCUCCCUCUGCUUUUCCAUCAGUCUGUGGCCUAGUUUAAAUGGUGGGAGGAAGGGUGUGAGAUUUAAGGCUGGUUGUAAGGGAUCAGUCAGUGUAGUUGGAAAAAUUGUAAGAUGAAGUUAUAGGAUAUAGACACAAACCUUCCUGGAAGGCCAGAAAGUCUGCAUAGCUUCAAUAAAGGAUUUGGCUGAAAGCAGCGUAAUCCCCUUUACCUUGAGUUGAUAGCAAUAGAGCAAAUAACAUGGGAACGUGGGGGAGUUUAUUGAAUAGCUUGUUUACUCAUGUGGUCCUAAGACCAACCUUUGAUUAUCCACGGGUGCAUGAUUGCUCUCUACUCGGUGGUCGGCAAAUUUAAUUACCCACAGGUGUGUUGACUCAAAGCCUCUGUCAUUAAAUCUAUGCUGAAUAAAUGCCGUCAGGGCCAGCUAGUCAAGGUGCACAACUCUUUUUGUGCGUGGUGUGGCCCCUUAGCUGCUCUGUCACUGAA
RNAcentral lists this long non-coding RNA (2439 nucleotides) under Homo sapiens (human). RNAcentral's name for it is "non-protein coding lnc-DEPDC4-2:10". Lineage: Eukaryota; Metazoa; Chordata; Mammalia; Primates; Hominidae. The record is from RNAcentral.